CCCAGUCUCAUCCCCCAUUCUCCCAGGGCUGCUUAAAGUCUUGAUGGAUAACAAGGGUAGCAACAAAUACAUCUACUCACAUUAGCAUGGGUCAAAUAAAUAAGUCAAAAGGCAACAUAAUUCCAGCUAAAAUGAACCAGUCUCUGUACAUCCCUCUUAGGCUGGAGCUGGGAACACAAUUUCACCUCCUGUGACGGCCCAGUGGGAAAAGGAAACCCCUGAUCUAUAUAGCUUUCUGCAGCCCUCCAGUGAUAUCCUGCAGGAGGCUGGAGUUUCCCAGGAAAAGAACAGCAAAGGAAGUGCGGGAUCUGAUGGGGCCAGGGGACAAACACAUAGAAUGCUGCUUACCAUCUCAGUGGCCUUUCUCUUCCUCCCAUCCGAAACUUCAGACGAGUUUUUUCUGAAAACAUAUAUCAGAUGGCAUCAUCAUGUCAGCAAAAACAGAAUGUAUGCUGUAUGGAAAUUAAAUUCAUUGGCAAAUUUCAAUCUAUCAAUUCACCUGUCAGUGAGCAUCCUGCAUCACUCCCCCACCUGCUCCUUCCUCUAAGUCUGGGAAUGACUAUGGCAAUGAGACUGGAACAGCACAUGUAUUAGAAGUGAAGA
Molecule: long non-coding RNA, 603 nt
Filed under: Vulpes vulpes (red fox)
Lineage: Eukaryota; Metazoa; Chordata; Mammalia; Carnivora; Canidae
Description: lncRNA (ENSVVUG00000029363.1)
Source: RNAcentral